GACGAACGCUGGCGGCGUGCUUAACACAUGCAAGUCGAACGGAAAGGCCCUGCUUUUGUGGGGUGCUCGAGUGGCGAACGGGUGAGUAACACGUGAGUAACCUGCCCUUGACUUUGGGAUAACUUCAGGAAACUGGGGCUAAUACCGGAUAGGAGCUCCUGCUGCAUGGUGGGGGUUGGAAAGUUUCGGCGGUUGGGGAUGGACUCGCGGCUUAUCAGCUUGUUGGUGGGGUAGUGGCUUACCAAGGCUUUGACGGGUAGCCGGCCUGAGAGGGUGACCGGCCACAUGGGGACUGAGAUAGGGCCCAGACUCCUACGGGAGGCAGCAGUGGGGAAUACUGCACAAUGGGCGGAAGCCUGAUGCAGCAACGCCGCGUGCGGGAUGACGGCCUUCGGGUUGUAAACCGCUUUCGCCUGUGACGAAGCGUGAGUGACGGUAAUGGGUAAAGAAGCACCGGCUAACUACGUG
Molecule: ribosomal RNA, 468 nt
Filed under: uncultured bacterium
Lineage: Bacteria
Description: partial 16S ribosomal RNA
Rfam family: Bacterial small subunit ribosomal RNA
Source: RNAcentral